RNAcentral lists this unclassified non-coding RNA (26 nucleotides) under Angomonas deanei. RNAcentral describes it as "trans-spliced leader sequence". Lineage: Eukaryota; Euglenozoa; Kinetoplastea; Trypanosomatida; Trypanosomatidae. The record is from RNAcentral.
UUUGGAUCCAGUUUCUGUACUUUAUU